RNAcentral lists this long non-coding RNA (395 nucleotides) under Hordeum vulgare. RNAcentral describes it as "long non-coding RNA (HVUL_LNC020145)". Lineage: Eukaryota; Viridiplantae; Streptophyta; Magnoliopsida; Poales; Poaceae. The record is from RNAcentral.
UUUAAUUUAUGAAAUACUUUGGUCGGCAGGUCAAAUUUAUUAAUUUUGCCAAUAGAAAAAACAUACUAGAUGUAUUCCUGCAUCGCUGCUCCACAUCCAGUAAUCAAACAAAUAAAUGCAACAAUAACCAGGAUCGGACGAAGGGGCCAAAAUAUCAUGGUGAUGAUAAUUACAUGGACGAUGACAGGUGCUUUUGGCCGCACUAGAUGCAUCAUGCCCACUGUUCCAGGGACAGUGGGAGGAAUCAGGCUACAGUAAGCAGACCCGUAAACAAAUGGCAAGUUGGUCGCUCAUUCAUCACUCACCACCAGCAGCUAGCACCACCCUGCGUCUGCGCAGAAGCACACACAAAAAAAAACGUCGCCGUAGUUUAUUUCCCCUCUUCCCGCGUCGUG